CGCUCCUCUUUGCCAAUUUGGCUUUGAUCUGAUGUAGUAUCUGUUCUUUCGCAGGGUGACUCCUCGAAUCCUUGGUCUUACCGGGACCUCCGUCACUAUAUUUUUGAAGUCUGGUCCUGGGCUGCUGGUGCGACUUGUGGUGUCGGCGGCCGGGGGACACUGUGCCCGUCCUAUAGCACUAUCUGGAUGUUGUGCGCGAUUGCUU
This 205-nucleotide small nuclear RNA is filed under the name Pyrenochaeta sp. DS3sAY3a. Its description in RNAcentral is "U2 spliceosomal RNA". It matches the Rfam family "U2 spliceosomal RNA". Rfam says of the family: U2 is a small nuclear RNA (snRNA) component of the spliceosome (involved in pre-mRNA splicing). Complementary binding between U2 snRNA (in an area lying towards the 5' end but 3' to hairpin I) and the branchpoint sequence (BPS) of the intron results the bulging out of an unpaired adenosine, on the BPS, which initiates a nucleophilic attack at the intronic 5' splice site, thus starting the first of two transesterification reactions that mediate splicing. The record is from Rfam by way of RNAcentral. Lineage: Eukaryota; Fungi; Ascomycota; Dothideomycetes; Pleosporales; Cucurbitariaceae.